Long non-coding RNA from Perca fluviatilis (European perch), 755 nucleotides. RefSeq lists it as uncharacterized. The record is from RefSeq and is a predicted model, not a curated record. NCBI's taxonomy places the organism in Eukaryota, Metazoa, Chordata, Actinopteri, Perciformes, Percidae. The transcript is spliced from 3 exons.
AGCGCUUUCUAUGCCCCAUAUUUUCUGAUAUAAACCAAAAAUUGAAAACUGUUCAAUGUGACCCGGAGUCAACACAAGGGUUAAAUGACAUGAACAUGACAUGACGGAAUUAAAAAUAUAAAACCUAUGUUUGAAUGUUUGGAUAUAACAUUAUAAUAUAUAAACUAUAUAUAAACUACUGUGAUCAGGAUUUGAAUGUAAGUAGGCCUAUGUUUAAUUAGGCUAAAUAUGGAUUCAAUAAACUGCAGCAACAAUGCCACGUUCUACCGCUAUGUAGAAUUACGUACAGGUGUAUGGAAGUAUAGGCUAAUUUCUAUUAAUAGGCUAAUCAAAUAAAUUGCAAGCCACACUCAUAAACCCGCGAUGUUCCAGUGAAUUCUAACGGGCAAUUGGUACGCACGCAGCGACAUGAAUCCAGCAAACCCAUCCGGAGUCUCAGUGACGUUCGAAGCUUCGGACGUCAUCAGUCACGUGCUUAUUUCAAUUCGAUACGAGCUCCAACACUGGGUUUCGAACCAGUGUGCUUUGCGGGAGUGAUACAAGCUUCGGUGCCUCGGUGUCAAACGUCCCAUCACUAGUGUUAGCUGCUGAUCUUAUUGGACCGUUUUAGGAGACAGAGCUCGAGGUAAAGACACACACACUCAGGUAAAGCCUCUAAUGACUGCUCUUUAUCACGGAGAUCAAAGCGAGGAGAAGGCUGAGCUGCGCAUGCGCCGACACUCAAUGAUUUCUGCAGCAGCAGCAGAGAGCAGUAG